UGUUAGUACAUGGUUAAAUCAAAUCUUUUUUGAGACUUGAAAUUCCUAUUGGAUAGGGAUUGGACAAAGUUAAAAGCAAGCAUGAGGGGUGCCAAGAGUUGGGUCCUCAUUGGAUUUUUUGGGCAUAAAAUAAAGGGGCUCACGCCCCAUGUGGAUAAGGUUCAAGGGGUGCCAAUAGUUGGUGUACCCUUGUCUUGCGCAUGAAAAAAGCAGAGGAGAGACGGGCUGCAUGCCCCAUUGGAUUUUGUGCAUGAG
RNAcentral lists this long non-coding RNA (255 nucleotides) under Elaeis guineensis (African oil palm). RNAcentral describes it as "long non-coding RNA (EGUI_LNC044617)". The record is from RNAcentral. Lineage: Eukaryota; Viridiplantae; Streptophyta; Magnoliopsida; Arecales; Arecaceae.